This 490-nucleotide ribosomal RNA is filed under the name uncultured bacterium. RNAcentral describes it as "partial 16S ribosomal RNA". It matches the Rfam family "Bacterial small subunit ribosomal RNA", at positions 30 to 507 of the family's 1533-position model. The record is from RNAcentral.
AUUGAACGCUGGCGGCAGGCCUAACACAUGCAAGUCGAAUGGUAACAGGAAACAGCUUGCUGUUUCGCUGACGAGUGGCGGACGGGUGAGUAAUGUCUGGGAAACUGCCUGAUGGAGGGGGAUAACUACUGGAAACGGUAGCUAAUACCGCAUAACGUCGCAAGACCAAAGAGGGGGACCUUCGUGCCUCUUGCCAUCAGAUGUGCCCAGAUGGGAUUAGCUAGUAGGGGGGGUAACGGCUCACCUAGGUGACCGUCCCUAGCUGGUCUGAGGGGAUGGCCAGCCACACUGGAACUGAGACACGGUCCAGACUCCUACGGGAGGCAGCAGUGGGGAAUAUUGCACAAUGGGCGCAAGCCUGAUGCAGCCAUGCCGCGUGUAUGAAGAAGGCCUUCGGGUUGUAAAGUACUUUCAGCGGGGAGGAAGGGAGUAAAGUUAAUACCUUUGCUCAUUGACGUUACCCGCAGAAGAAGCACCGGCUAACUCCGUG